RNAcentral lists this ribosomal RNA (468 nucleotides) under uncultured Oomycota. RNAcentral's name for it is "LSU rRNA". The stretch from base 1 to 83 matches the Rfam family "Bacterial large subunit ribosomal RNA", at positions 476 to 559 of the family's 2925-position model. Lineage: Eukaryota; Oomycota. The record is from RNAcentral.
GUGCGAGACCGAUAGCGAACAAGUACCGUGAGGGAAAGAUGAAAAGAACUUUGAAAAGAGAGUUAAAGAGUACCUGAAACUGCUGAAAGGGAAGCGAAUCGUAUCCAGUGUCUAUAAUCUGCGGCAUAUUUCAUUGGCGGCGGUGCGCGUGCUUUUGCGUCGGAAGCGGCUUUUGUUGCUCUGUGCUUUUGCUGUGCGUGGUGUUGCUGGUGCCCUGUGUUGCGGUGGGACGUCAGAGUCAGUUUGUAUGCUGCGGGAAAUGGCUGCCGAGGAGGUAGGUCGAGAUUUCGGUCUUGGCUGUUAUAUCUUGGUGGUUUGUUGUCGUGGUUGAGACUGAGGUGCCUACAAUGUGCUUUUGAGUGUACCGGGUUCUCAUUUGGUGGACUGUUUGGAUAGCUUGCUAUGCUUGUGGCUUUUUCAUCGGGUGAUUGAGUCUGGUGGUAACUUGUUGCUGUUCGGGACUUUGAA